GAUUGAACGCUGGCGGCGUGCCUAACACAUGCAAGUCGAGCGAUGAAGGGAGCUUGCUCCCGGAUUAGCGGCGCACGGGUGAGUAACGCGUGGAUAAUCUACCCACGAGAUCGGGAUACCAGCUGGAAACGGCUGACAAUACCGGGUAACAUACAAUUUUACUAUUGUGUCAAAGGCGGGGCAACCUGUCGCUUGUGGAUGAGUCCGCGUCCCAUUAACUAGUUGGUAAGGUAAUGGCUUACCAAGGCAGUGAUGAGUAGCCGGCCUGAGAGGGUAAUCGGCCACACUGGGACUGGAACACGGCCCAGACUCCUACGGGAGGCAGCAGUGGGGAAUAUUGCGCAAUGGACGAAAGUCUGACGCAGCGACGCCGCGUGAGGGAUGAAGGCCUUCGGGUUGUAAACCUCUGUCAGGAGGGAAGAACCGCCAUGGUAGUAACUGCCCAUGGUCUGACGGUACCUCCAAAGGAAGCACCGGCUAACUCCGUGCCAGCAGCCGCGGUAAUACGGAGGGUGCAAGCGUUAAUCGGAAUCACUGGGCGUAAAGCGCGCGUAGGGACAUCCAGGGAACCCUCCCCAAAAGGAGGGGUUCUCUUCGGAGAACCCUGAGACAGGUGCUGCAUGGCUGUCGUCAGCUCGUUCCGUGAGGUGUUGGGUUAAGUCCCGCAACGAGCGCAACCCCUAUUGUUAGUUGCCAGCAGGUGAAGCUGGGCACUCUAACGAGACUGCUGUGGUCAACACAGAGGAAGGUGGGGACGACGUCAAGUCAUCGUGGCCCUUACGCCUAGGGCUACACACGUACUACAAUGGCGCACACAAAGGGCUGCGAAACCGCGAGGUCAAGCCAAUCCCAAAAAAUGCGUCCCAGUCCGGACUGCAGUCUGCAACUCGACUGCACGAAGUCGGAAUCGCUAGUAAUCCUGGAUCAGCAUGUCCAGGGUGAAUGCGUUACCCGGGCCUUGUACACACCGCCCGUCACACCACGAAAGUUGGUUUUACCCAAAACCGGUGAGCUAACCAUUUACUUGGAGGCAGCCGU
This 1038-nucleotide ribosomal RNA is filed under the name uncultured Eubacterium sp. RNAcentral describes it as "bacterial SSU rRNA". It matches the Rfam family "Bacterial small subunit ribosomal RNA". Lineage: Bacteria; Bacillati; Bacillota; Clostridia; Eubacteriales; Eubacteriaceae. The record is from RNAcentral.